UGAGGAAUAUUGGACAAUGGGUUAGCGCCUGAUCCAGCCAUCCCGCGUGAAGGACGACGGCCCUAUGGGUUGUAAACUUCUUUUGUACAGGGAUAAACCUAUCUACGUGUAGAUAGCUGAAGGUACUGUACGAAUAAGCACCGGCUAACUCCGUGCCAGCAGCCGCGGUAAUACGGAGGGUGCAAGCGUUAUCCGGAUUUAUUGGGUUUAAAGGGUCCGUAGGCGGAUGCGUAAGUCAGUGGUGAAAUCUCACAGCUUAACUGUGAAACUGCCAUUGAUACUGCGUGUCUUGAGUAAGGUAGAAGUGGCUGGAAUAAGUAGUGUAGCGGUGAAAUGCAUAGAUAUUACUUAGAACACCAAUUGCGAAGGCAGGUCACUAUGUCUUAACUGACGCUGAUGGACGAAAGCGUGGGGAGCGAACAGGAUUAGAUACCCUGGUAGUCCACGCCGUAAACGAUGCUAACUCGUUUUUGGGCUUUCGGGUUCAGAGACUAAGCGAAAGUGAUAAGUUAGCCACCUGGGGAGUACGUUCGCAAGAAUGAAACUCAAAGGAAUUGACGGGGGCCCGCACAAGCGGUGGAUUAUGUGGUUUAAUUCGAUGAUACGCGAGGAACCUUACCAAGGCUUAAAUGGGAAUUGACAGACGCAGAAAUGUGUUUUUCUUCGGACAAUUUUCAAGGUGCUGCAUGGUUGUCGUCAGCUCGUGCCGUGAGGUGUUAGGUUAAGUCCUGCAACGAGCGCAACCCCUGUUACUAGUUGCUACCAUUAAGUUGAGGACUCUAGUAAGACUGCCUACGCAAGUAGAGAGGAAGGUGGGGAUGACGUCAAAUCAUCACGGCCCUUACGCCUUGGGCCACACACGUAAUACAAUGGCCGGUACAGAGGGCAGCUACACAGCGAUGUGAUGCGAAUCUCGAAAGCCGGUCUCAGUUCGGAUUGGAGUCUGCAACUCGACUCUAUGAAGCUGGAAUCGCUAGUAAUCGCGCAUCAGCCAUGGCGCGGUGAAUACGUUCCCGGGCCUUGUACACACCGCCCGUCAAGCCAUGGAAGUCUGGGGUACCUGAAGUCGGUGACCGUAAAAGGAGCUGCCUAGGGUAAAACAGGUAACUAGGGCU
Molecule: ribosomal RNA, 1115 nt
Filed under: Chryseobacterium taeanense
Lineage: Bacteria; Pseudomonadati; Bacteroidota; Flavobacteriia; Flavobacteriales; Weeksellaceae
Description: bacterial SSU rRNA
Rfam family: Bacterial small subunit ribosomal RNA
Source: RNAcentral